RNAcentral lists this ribosomal RNA (724 nucleotides) under uncultured fungus. RNAcentral's name for it is "eukaryotic LSU rRNA". It matches the Rfam family "Eukaryotic large subunit ribosomal RNA", at positions 24 to 664 of the family's 3401-position model. Lineage: Eukaryota; Fungi. The record is from RNAcentral.
CCCGCUGAACUUAAGCAUAUCAAUAAGCGGAGGAAAAGAAACUAACAAGGAUUCCCUUAGUAACUGCGAGUGAAGAGGGAAGAGCUCAAAUUUAAAAUCUGGCAGUCUUUUGGGCUGUUCGAGUUGUAAUCUAGAGAAGUGUUUUCUGCACUGGACCAUGUACAAGUCUCUUGGAAUGGAGCAUCAUAGAGGGUGACAAUCCUGUCUUUGACAUGGACUCCCAGGGCUUUUUGUGUAGCACUCUCAAAGAGUCGAGUUGUUUGGGAAUGCAGCUCAAAAUGGGUGGUAAAUUCCAUCUAAAGCUAAAUAUUGGCGAGAGACCGAUAGCGAACAAGUACCGUGAGGGAAAGAUGAAAAGAACUUUGAAAAGAGAGUUAAACAGUACGUGAAAUUGUUGAAAGGGAACCGUUUGAAGCCAGUCUUACUUGCUCGUGAUCAGUUUGUGCCUCGGCAUGAAUGCACUCUCGGGUAUGGUAGGCCAACGACAGUUUAGAAUGCGAGAAAAAAAUUUGGGAAAUGUGGCCUUCGGGUGUUAUAGUCCCUUAUGAAAUAUCGUGUUCUGGACUGAGGAUCGCAGUAAAAAUGUGGGCAGGUAGAUUUCUGUGGUGAAUGCUUAUUAGGACAACUUGUUGACCUAGUUUUCAUGAGCCUCACUGUUUGCCUUGCUUCUAAUUUGCUUAGGUCGUUGGCAUAAUGGCUUUAAAUGACCCGUCUUGAAACACGG